This 73-nucleotide transfer RNA is filed under the name Ictidomys tridecemlineatus (thirteen-lined ground squirrel). RNAcentral's name for it is "Spermophilus tridecemlineatus (thirteen-lined ground squirrel) tRNA". It matches the Rfam family "tRNA". Rfam says of the family: Transfer RNA (tRNA) molecules are approximately 80 nucleotides in length. Lineage: Eukaryota; Metazoa; Chordata; Mammalia; Rodentia; Sciuridae. The record is from Rfam by way of RNAcentral.
AGAGAUAUGGCUCAGUUGGUUGAGUGCUUGCUUUGCAUGCACAAGGCCCUGGGUUCAAUCCCCAGUACCACAA